GUAUGAUAAUUGAGACUGAGCUAACAGAUGAGAAUCCUAGUCAUUGGCCAAGCAGCUUUGUGACUAAUACAAGUCUCUCUGUGUAUUCAUUUGGGCCUAACUCGGGCGGGUGGCUGGCAUAAAGCUCACAUGUGGCGGUGGGGCUCAGACAGCUUUUGGCAGAAAGAUUUAUCGUAACAGGUGAUGGUUUCAAUUCUUUCCACAUUUUCUCCAACAUUUAUCAUCAGAUUUUUGCAUGAUAGCCAUGAUGACUAGAGUGGUAUUUCACAGCAAUAGUUUUAACUUGCAUUUUCCUAGGGACUAGGGAUAGUGAACCUUUUUCUUUUCUUCCUUCCUUCCUUCCUUCCUUCCUUCCUUCCUUCCUUCCUUCCUUUCUUUCUUUUGAGACAGGUUUCUCUGUGUAACCCUGGCUGUCCUGGAAUUCACUCUGUAGACCAGGCUGGCCUCAAACUCUGAGAUCUGCCUGCCUCUGCCUCCCUAGUGUUGAGAUUAAAGACAUGUGCCGCCAACCAUCCAGCACUGAAUACUUUUAAAAAUACCUAUUAGCCAUUUGCCUGCCUGCCUUCCUGCCUUCCUUCCUUCCAUCCUUCCUUCCUUCCUUCCUUCCUUCAUUUUUUCUCUCUAUUCAGUUCAUUUGCCCAUGUGUUGAUUGACAGUUUUAUUCUCUGGGUAUUUAAUUUCUGCUUUCUUUGUAAAUUCUACACUUCAGCCUAUAUCUGAAGUGUAACUAGUUAAGAUUUUCUCCCACUCUGGGCUGUCUGUUAACUCUGCUGAUAAUGUCCUUUUCUGUAGAGAAACUUUUUAUACUCCUGUAUCUAUUGAUACUGGGGUUACUUCCUGUGCUGCUGGUGUUCUAUUUAAAAAGUUAUUACCAUAGUAAUAUGGUAUCUCAGCAGCUGGGAAACAGAGGCAGGUGGAACUCUUUGAGUUCCAGAACAGCCUGAUCUACAGAGUGAGUUGAGGAACCCCCUCUCAAAAAAACAGUUUGUGCCUAUUCCAGUAUCUUGAAGGGUACUACUCUGUUGUGCUUUCUGCUAGAAGUUUCAGUGUUUCUAGUUUUAAGUUAAGGUCUUUGAUCUAUUUUGAAUUGAUUUUUGUUCAAGGUAAACGAAUCUAAUCCCAUCUUUAAUCCCAGCACUCGGGAGGCAGAGGCAGGCGGAUCUCUAUGAGUUCGAGGCCAGCCUGGUCUCCAGAGUGAGUUCCAGGACAGCCUCCAAAGCUACACAGAGAAACCCUGUCUCAAAAAAACAAAAAAAUAAAAAAACUAAUUUGUCAGCACCAUCUGUUGAGCAGGCCAUCUUUUUUCUUUCUUUCUUUCUCUCUUAUUUUAGUUUAUUGAAGGGAAAGGGAAGAAGAGAAGGGGGAAAGGGGAGAGAGAAAGAACCAGAGAAGAGGGACAGAGAAGCAGGGUGGGGGUGGGGAGGGUGUUUUCUAAAAGUAUCUUUCUGCCUUCUUUGUCAUGAAUUUGGUGGGAAUUUGCCAUUUUGCCUCUAUUCUGUUCCAUUGGUCUUCUUUUCUCCCCCCACCACCCCAAGACAGGAUUUCUCUGUGUAGCCCUGACUGUCCUAGAACUCACUCUAUAAACCAGGCUGGCCUUGAACUCGGAGAUCCUGAGUGCUGGGAUUAAAGGCAUGCACCACCAUCAAUCACCAGCCUCUUCCUUUUAUUUUUAUGCCAGUGUGUCUUUGUCACUAUAGCUCUGUAGAAUAAUUACACCCCAGCACUGUUCUCUCUCCUGAGGAUUGCUUUGGCUAUUUGUGGUAUAUUGUGGUUCCAUUUGAAUUUGUACAUUAAUUUUUCUAAACCUUUGAGAUAGAACAUAGGAGUUUUGAUAAGUAUUGCAUUAAUUCUUUUCUAAAAGAUUUUAUUUAUUUAUUAUGUAUACAGUCUUCUGCCUGUAUGCCAGCAGAGGAUACCAGAUCUCAUUCAAGGUGGUUGUGAGUCACCAUGUGGUUGCCAGGAAUUGAACUCAGGACCUCUGAAAGAGCAGUCAGCGCUCUUAACCUUUGAGCCAUCUCUCCAGCCCCCACAUUAAUUCCCUGUAUUAGUCUUGGCUUAGAUAUUUCAAUAUUAAUUCUACCAAUUCUGGAGCAUGGAAUAUUUUUUCAAAAUCUAGUAUCUUCUGUGAUUUUUCUUUUUCAUUAACUUGAAUUUUUGUUGUAGAAAUAUUUCACUUCUUUGGCUAGAUAUAUAUUUUGUAACAUUUUGUUGGUUGGUUGGUUGAGACAGGAUGUUUCUACAUUGUAAGUGUUGCAGCUCUGAAGGGAAAGGUAUCCUGACUGUCGGGAGCCAAACUGUAUCUAUAGCUGCAAAGGGAAAGAUAUCCUGACUGUCAGAAGACAGACUAUACCUAUAGCUGUGAAGGGAAGGUAUCCUGGAUACCUAUAACUUCAGAGAGAAGGUAUCCUGACUGUUGGGAGCCAGGCUACACCUAUAGCUGUGUUCCAGUGAGUGACGGUUUCCCCUCAGGUAUGUAGCAGUCCUGCUCCUAUCUGAGAGAGCAGUUACUGCUGAGCUCUGCUCCACUACGAGUUUCCCAGCAGAGAUGCCGCUUACUUCUCUGCUCUGGGGAAAGUUGUUACUUCCCUGCUUCACUCUGCUAAGUGGGAAACCCCCACAGAAAUGUAUCAGUUUGCCUCUGCUCCAGUGAAAGUUGUUACUUCUCUGCUCUGCUCCAUUAAGGGAGUUUGCCAGCAGAGAUGUCCAUUGCUUCUCCACUCCGUUCCACUCUGGUUAAAGAAGGUCUUCACCCAAAACUCAUUCAAGAGAUUUAUUGGGAAGGAGGAAUCCAGGAUAGUGGCUGCCUCUGCCAGGGUAGAAAAAGGCAGCCCCUAAUUGAACAGGCACAGGACUUAUAUAGGGCUUCUUAGGGGCAGAGUUUUUCCAGGUGGACAUUUUCAGGGUGGGAAUUGGUCAAAUUUCAAUCCCUGAGCUUGGAUAAACUCAGAGACUGGCUGAAUUUUGUGCUCAAGGAUUGGUUGGGUUUUGUGCUGAGUUGGUCAUGGGCAGAGAGUGUUUCUUUAGCUCUGGUUUCAGAGCCAAAGUGUGUUUCUUUCACUGGCUCCUUUUAACCUUUUGGCUCUGGUUUCAAGGCCAGGGUGUGUUUCUUUCACUGGCUCUGGUUUCAGGGCCAAAGUGUGUUUCUUUGGCUGGCCCUUUUACCCUACGUACAUAACCCUUGAUGUCCUGGAACUCACUUUUGAGACUAGGCAGACUUAGAACUCACAGAGCUCCACCUGCAUCUGCAUAUUCUGUAAUUCUUUAAGGCUCCCAUUUUCAGAAUGAUCAAUGAGUCUUGGCUUCUAUGAUGGUAAUAUUGAUCAUCAAAUUGACUGGAACUAGAAUUGCCUAGGUGACAAACCUCUGGGUAAUCUCUGGGUACACUUGUGAAGGAUUAUCUAGAUUAGCCUAACUGGGGUAAGAAGACCACCCUAAAUGUGGUUAGCACCAUCCCCCACCUUCUGUCCUGGCCUGCAUAAAAAGGAGGAAGCAAGCCCAGCACUUCAUUCAUCCUCUGCUUCUUGACUGUGCUCACAGUGUGACCAGCUGCUUCUGGCUCCUGCUGCCUUGAGUUCCCUGUUGUGAUGGCCUGUACCAUGAACUCACCAUGUCUGCCUGCAGGCUGCCGUGUCCCACCAUGAUGAUAGCGGACUGAACCUCUGAACUGAUGCUCUGAGCUGCAGUGAUGGGGAUGUCAUGGUGAUGAAGAAGAGGAAGAAGGAGAAGGGGAGAGGAAGGAGAAGGAGAAGGAGAAGAAGAAGAAGAAGAAGAAGAAGAAGAAGAAGAAGAAGAAGAAGAAGAAGAAGAAGAAGAAGAAGAAGAAGAAGAAGAAAUAAUUAGCUAAACUGUUUUAAAAAUAGUCUGUUACCUCUCUAGCAACAAGAGGCACCAAAGUAAUGUAACUCAAGGACUUGUGUUAAAGUCAUCAAAGCCAAGUUUCUUUCUGUCCUCAGUGCAUUAUCUUAGUCUGUACACCAGUUCUCCUCUGAGACACAAGAUGGCUACAGAAGGUCCAGAUCUCACAUCAUUACCGCUAUGGUCGAUACCAGAAAAGGGCUCUUUUUUUUUUUUUUCAUUCUGCUUUCCUAUUUUUGUCAUAGAAUCAAAAAAUAAAGAAAAGAAAAUCCUCUUUCCUUAAAAUCUGUCCCCUGAGCCCUUCCCUUGCAUGUCUUCCGCUUCCAUGGAUCUGACAUUCACAUCUAACCCUGUCACUGGCUAGAAAAGGGGCCACCAUUUCCACAGAAGCUGAAUCUGGGUCCUCUCCAAAACUGGGUAGACCAGUCUCCCCUGAAAUGUGUGACUGAGUAAUGAAAGACGGAGGUUAUCAAAAUAACUUCAAGAGAGGCAGUUGACCAUGGUAGGGUCAACAUUUUGUGAAAAUCGAAAACAGUGGAUUCAUUCUUUGGGGAAAAAUUGUGAAAUACCAAAGUAAGUACAAGGCAAAUAAAAUGGAUUAACACAUUCUUUGCUUCAUUCAUUCAUUCAAUAAUUUAAUUAUUGAGUGCCUAUUAAAAAUUGCCACUAUUUCCAUUCAAACACAGUCAGUAACCAUCCCCAGGCUUAAUCAAAAU
This 4571-nucleotide long non-coding RNA is filed under the name Cricetulus griseus (Chinese hamster). RNAcentral's name for it is "lncRNA (ENSCGRG00015041585.1)". Lineage: Eukaryota; Metazoa; Chordata; Mammalia; Rodentia; Cricetidae. The record is from RNAcentral.